Molecule: non-coding RNA, 1253 nt
Organism: Elaeis guineensis (African oil palm)
Lineage: Eukaryota; Viridiplantae; Streptophyta; Magnoliopsida; Arecales; Arecaceae
Source: RefSeq, a predicted model, not a curated record
AUGUUGGAGUCCUUUUUUUUUUCCCCUCUUGUUAUUUCCUUUCCUUGUUGUAGGUGAGGAACAGAAACAAUCUUUGAUGAUGUUUUAUGCCUCGUUUCAAUCUCAAGGGAGUGUAGCAGAUCCAUCUCUACUUGGUAAAGGAGGGGAAGCUAAAGAUGGCCCAAGUGGAACUUGUGAGGCUGAUUCCUCUUGGUCCUCCUUUUCUUUCUUUCUCACCCUCCCUUGGGCAGUGAGGGACCUAUUUCAGUCUAUUGUAGGCCCCUAUACAACUAUUCUCGGUACAAAUGAACAAUAAAAAUUUUGCUGGCAGUAAAUGGUGGUCAACGGUUGCCUGCAUGAUCUUUGAAAUUGUGAUACGGUGAGAACUUUUUACCAGGUAAUGGAAUUACCACAACCCAAGUCGGUGUGAUGGAUGGAUACAUCUAUGGAAUUCUGGAGAUGUAUUCCGUCUGUGUUGGGGCUGUCGCCAGGGGAAGAGAUGGUCAUGUUGAAGACUUGAACUGCUUCACAGUAAUCAAAUUUAAGGUGGCACUGUGGGCUAUUCUGUAUCGUUAUGCCCGUGACUGUUACAUUGUAACUUCCAUAAAACCUCAGAGCCUGCAACAAAAUGGAAAAAGUGCACAACGCAGUGUUAUUCAUUCUCACAGGAAACAUUGUUUAUUGUUCUGGAAAAAAGAAAGAAGCUGCCCAGAAAAGAAUUCUUACUGUUGGUUUGAUCUGUGGCAUUUUUGCACUGAGCCUAGCAUUAAUCUGUAACAAAUAAAUGCAGUUAAAUAUUUUCAGGUCAGUAUUCAAAGUAUGAUUCUUUACGUCCCAGUCAUUAAUCUGAGAAAUGAGUCUAGAACAUCAAGUGGAAAUUGGAACUGGGGAAGCCCAUAUGUCUGAUACAAUUUACACAGUAUUCUGCCGGCAGAUUUGGAUGCUUAAAGUGAAAGAUGGAGUUCGAUAAUUGUUUUUCUGUUUUCUUUUUAUUUUUUUUAAAGGUUAAUUAAAUUAGUGGCUGUUACAAAUGGCCAUUCUAAUGAUUUUGGAGGGAGGCUCUUUGGUUAUAAAUAUCAAUAACGGGUAUGAAGAUAUCGGCUGCUAUUUGACAAUUGUUCCAUUAUAACAGCCAUUAUGUAAUGAGAAAAUAAUGGCCGUUAUUCACCAUUUGCUUCCUUUUCACUUAUUAAAAAUAUAUUUACAAUCAAAUUUGUGUGACGGCUGGAAAAAUUAUUUUUUUAUUCAGUUAAGAGUCGAUUAUUUUUAACUCA